Molecule: ribosomal RNA, 630 nt
Filed under: Curtobacterium sp. Ri2Ps_5134
Lineage: Bacteria; Bacillati; Actinomycetota; Actinomycetes; Micrococcales; Microbacteriaceae
Description: bacterial SSU rRNA
Rfam family: Bacterial small subunit ribosomal RNA
Source: RNAcentral
UGCAGCAACGCCGCGUGAGGGAUGACGGCCUUCGGGUUGUAAACCUCUUUUAGUAGGGAAGAAGCGAAAGUGACGGUACCUGCAGAAAAAGCACCGGCUAACUACGUGCCAGCAGCCGCGGUAAUACGUAGGGUGCAAGCGUUGUCCGGAAUUAUUGGGCGUAAAGAGCUCGUAGGCGGUUUGUCGCGUCUGCUGUGAAAUCCCGAGGCUCAACCUCGGGCUUGCAGUGGGUACGGGCAGACUAGAGUGCGGUAGGGGAGAUUGGAAUUCCUGGUGUAGCGGUGGAAUGCGCAGAUAUCAGGAGGAACACCGAUGGCGAAGGCAGAUCUCUGGGCCGUAACUGACGCUGAGGAGCGAAAGCAUGGGGAGCGAACAGGAUUAGAUACCCUGGUAGUCCAUGCCGUAAACGUUGGGCGCUAGAUGUAGGGACCUUUCCACGGUUUCUGUGUCGUAGCUAACGCAUUAAGCGCCCCGCCUGGGGAGUACGGCCGCAAGGCUAAAACUCAAAGGAAUUGACGGGGGCCCGCACAAGCGGCGGAGCAUGCGGAUUAAUUCGAUGCAACGCGAAGAACCUUACCAAGGCUUGACAUACACCGGAAACGGCCAGAGAUGGUCGCCCCCUUGUGGUCG